Molecule: non-coding RNA, 23 nt
Filed under: Arabidopsis thaliana (thale cress)
Lineage: Eukaryota; Viridiplantae; Streptophyta; Magnoliopsida; Brassicales; Brassicaceae
Source: RNAcentral
CAGUGGUUCCUCGUAACGGCCCU